This 460-nucleotide ribosomal RNA is filed under the name uncultured bacterium. Its description in RNAcentral is "partial 16S ribosomal RNA". It matches the Rfam family "Bacterial small subunit ribosomal RNA", at positions 338 to 795 of the family's 1533-position model. The record is from RNAcentral.
CCUACGGGAGGCAGCAGUGAGGAAUAUUGGUCAAUGGACGGAAGUCUGAACCAGCCAUGCCGCGUGCAGGAAGACGGCUCUAUGAGUUGUAAACUGCUUUUGUACAAGAGUAAACCUGAAUACGUGUAUUCCGCUGAAAGUACUGUACGAAUAAGGAUCGGCUAACUCCGUGCCAGCAGCCGCGGUAAUACGGAGGAUCCAAGCGUUAUCCGGAAUUAUUGGGUUUAAAGGGUGCGUAGGCGGAUUUAUAAGUUAGACGUGAAAUGCCCGAGCUUAACUCGGGAACUGCCUCUAAUACUGUUGAUCUAGAGAGUAGAAGAGGAAGGCGGAAUGUAAGGUGUAGCGGUGAAAUGCUUAGAGAUCAGACAGAACACCGAUUGCGAAGGCAGCUUACCAAGCUAUAUCUGACGUUGAGGCACGAAAGCGUGGGGAGCAAACAGGAUUAGAUACCCCUGUAGUC